Molecule: ribosomal RNA, 492 nt
Filed under: uncultured bacterium
Lineage: Bacteria
Description: partial 16S ribosomal RNA
Rfam family: Bacterial small subunit ribosomal RNA
Source: RNAcentral
AGUGAACGCUGGCGGUAGGCCUAACACAUGCAAGUCGAACGGCAGCACAGUAAGAGCUUGCUCUUACGGGUGGCGAGUGGCGGACGGGUGAGGAAUACAUCGGAAUCUACUUUUUCGUGGGGGAUAACGUAGGGAAACUUACGCUAAUACCGCAUACGACCUACGGGUGAAAGCAGGGGAUCUUCGGACCUUGCGCGAUUGAAUGAGCCGGUGUCGGAUUAGCUAGUUGGCGGGGUAAAGGCCCACCAAGGCGACGAUCCGUAGCUGGUCUGAGAGGAUGAUCAGCCACACUGGAACUGAGACACGGUCCAGACUCCUACGGGAGGCAGCAGUGGGGAAUAUUGGACAAUGGGCGCAAGCCUGAUCCAGCCAUACCGCGUGGGUGAAGAAGGCCUUCGGGUUGUAAAGCCCUUUUGUUGGGAAAGAAAAGCAGCAGGUUAAUACCCCGCCGUUCUGACGGUACCCAAAGAAUAAGCACCGGCUAACUUCGUG